This is a non-coding RNA of Solitalea canadensis DSM 3403, 398 nucleotides long. It matches the Rfam family "transfer-messenger RNA". From Rfam's summary of the family: Bacterial tmRNA, also known as 10Sa RNA or SsrA, is named for its dual tRNA and mRNA-like properties. Its role is to liberate the mRNA from a stalled ribosome. The record is from Rfam. NCBI's taxonomy places the organism in Bacteria, Pseudomonadati, Bacteroidota, Sphingobacteriia, Sphingobacteriales, Sphingobacteriaceae.
GGGGCUGACCGGAAUUGACAGGGUGGAAGAUUUGUGUGUAAGCAUGCCAGGCGUUGUGGGAAGUGCCUGUAAAAGAAAAUCCUCAAUCUAUAAACGGCGAAAAUAACUACGCUCUUGCUGCGUAAUUUUUACAGAUGUAAAGAUCACUUUUAUCCCGCAUAGUGUGGGAGGCAAGAUGUUCCCCGGAAGCGCAAGCCUUCCGCGUCCGACUCGGGGGCACAGAAAAGAAGGAAUAAGGUUAGUAACGCUUCGCAGCUAACCCGACAAUUUAAGAAGCUAAGUUGUAAUUAGCCUGUAGGCGGGCAGGUUACGAUCGAAAAUUAAACACCAACUAAGCAUGUAGAAGGCGCAUCAGGUCCCAUGUUUGGACGAGGGUUCGAAUCCCUCCAGCUCCACAA